Molecule: ribosomal RNA, 253 nt
Filed under: uncultured bacterium
Lineage: Bacteria
Description: partial 16S ribosomal RNA
Rfam family: Bacterial small subunit ribosomal RNA
Source: RNAcentral
UACGAAGGGGACUAGCGUUGUUCGGAAUCACUGGGCGUAAAGCGCACGUAGGCGGAUAUGUCAGUCAGGGGUGAAAUCCCGGGGCUUAACCUCGGAACUGCCUUUGAUACAGCAUAUCUUGAGUCCGAUAGAGGUGGGUGGAAUUCCUAGUGUAGAGGUGAAGUUCGUAGAUAUUAGGAAGAACACCGGUGGCGAAGGCGGCCCACUGGAUCGGUACUGACGCUGAGGUGCGAAAGCGUGGGGAGCAAACAGG